Molecule: ribosomal RNA, 828 nt
Filed under: Onygena corvina
Lineage: Eukaryota; Fungi; Ascomycota; Eurotiomycetes; Onygenales; Onygenaceae
Description: LSU rRNA
Rfam family: Eukaryotic large subunit ribosomal RNA
Source: RNAcentral
GCCUCAGUAACGGCGAGUGAAGCGGCAUCAGCUCAAAUUUGAAAUCUGGCACCUUUGGGGGCCCGAGUUGUAAUUUGGAGAGGAUACUUCGGGGGUGGCCACGGUGUAAGUCCCUUGGAACAGGGCGUCAUAGAGGGUGAGAAUCCCGUCUUGCACCGCGAUCCCUCCCCCGUGUGAAGUUCCUUCGACGAGUCGAGUUGUUUGGGAAUGCAGCUCUAAGUGGGUGGUAAAUUUCAUCUAAAGCUAAAUAUUGGCCGGAGACCGAUAGCGCACAAGUAGAGUGAUCGAAAGGUUAAAAGCACCUUGAAAAGGGAGUUAAAUAGCACGUGAAAUUGUUGAAAGGGAAGCGCUUGCAACCAGACUCGGUUCCGGGGGCUCAACGGGCACCUGUUGCCCGUGUACUCCCCCGGAUUCCGGGCCAGCAUCAGUUCAGGCGGCCGGUCAAAGGCCUUGGGAAGGUAGUAUCCUCCGGGAUACCUUAUAGCCCUCGGUGCAAUGCGGCCAGCCCGGACUGAGGAACGCGCUUCGGCACGGAUGCUGGCAUAAUGGUUGUAAGCGGCCCGUCUUGAAACACGGACCAAGGAGUCUAACAUCCACGCGAGUGUUCGGGUGUCAAACCCGUGCGCGCAGUGAAAGCGAACGGAGGUGGGAGCCCUUUAGGGUGCACCAUCGACCGAUCCUGAAGUCUUCGGAUGGAUUUGAGUAAGAGCGUGGCUGUUGGGACCCGAAAGAUGGUGAACUAUGCCUGAAUAGGGUGAAGCCAGAGGAAACUCUGGUGGAGGCUCGCAGCGGUUCUGACGUGCAAAUCGAUCGUCAAAUUUGGGUAUA